This is a long non-coding RNA of Ipomoea triloba (trilobed morning glory), 924 nucleotides long. RefSeq lists it as uncharacterized. The record is from RefSeq and is a predicted model, not a curated record. Lineage: Eukaryota; Viridiplantae; Streptophyta; Magnoliopsida; Solanales; Convolvulaceae. The transcript is spliced from 4 exons.
CAGCCCUAACCCUAACACCCAUCCUCUGCCGCCCUUAGUCCCUUACCCAUCGCGCACUCUUCCCCUCUCACCCUCGCAUCGUCUCUCUCUGUUUCGCAGCCUCUGCUGUUCUCCGCCUCGAUGUCUCCGGCUCUCCACCAUCGGCGUAUCCAGCUCUCUGACCUUGGCGCUCUCAUCGUCUCUCUCUGUCUUGCAGCCUCUCCGUUUCCGAUUCUCCGCCCUCUGCGUCUCCGACUCCAUGCCCUCAGCGCUUUCAUGCUCGAAGGUGCUGGUAGAAAGGCCCAGUCAACCUGGUAGAAGAGGGUUCAGGAAUUCCAAAGUCGUUUCUCCCCUCGCUCUAAAUCUGCCCCCUACCAGAGAGCUUUCUUGUCAGAUACAUGAAGAGGCCAGGAAGUUUUCUUAUGAGACAGGAUUAAAAAUAGUGGUUGCAUAUGGAGGGGCAUCAAUACUUCCAUAGGUGGAAUCAGCAAAUGUUGAUGGGCAUGCUAAAAUUGGGUCUAGUGAAACUGCUCAGCAGAUGUCACAUUCUCAACCUGGCACAGUGGGACAGAACCAACCAAAGGGAGCUGAUGUUCAAUUCCUUGCUAAGCUGACUCGUGUUCUUGAAAAAAAGGUGUACUCUUGGUAAUGCAGGGAUAUAAAUUGUUUGGUAUGCUGUGUUGCUGUUGAAACUCUUAAAGAAGGGGUUCUAUCAUUUUUGCCUCUCCUAGUCCACUCCUUCCCAAAACAAAUGAGAAACACAAAUAAUGUAGGAAGUGCACACUGGAAAAUGCUUAAGACAUUAGUAUUUAUAGGCUAUUUCCCACCAAAAUUUAGAUUCAAAAGAUGUAAUCAUUAUUUUUUUAGCAUGCCUUUUAUUGUAACUUGUAAAAGUAAGCAACACAUCGGGAAAUGAUACUAUUUAAUGCCUUGUUUUAAUCAGUC